Molecule: unclassified non-coding RNA, 232 nt
Filed under: soil metagenome
Description: partial internal transcribed spacer 1
Source: RNAcentral
UUGAAUUUUAAUGAAGAGUUUGGUUGUAGCUGGCCCAUUCAUUUGGGCAUGUGCACACCUUCCUCUUUCAUCCCACACACGCCUGUGAACCUGUGAGACAGAGAUGGGGAAUUUACUUGCUGCUUUUUGGAAUACAAAGGCAAUAGGUUAUUGGACCCCCCCUCUGUCUACUCAAUUAAUAUAAACUCAAUUUAUUUUAAAACGAAUGUAAUGGAUGUAACACAUCUCAUAC